Molecule: ribosomal RNA, 254 nt
Filed under: uncultured bacterium
Lineage: Bacteria
Description: partial 16S ribosomal RNA
Rfam family: Bacterial small subunit ribosomal RNA
Source: RNAcentral
UACGUAGGGUCCAAGCGUUAUCCGGAAUUACUGGGCGUAAAGAGUUGCGUAGGUGGCAUAGUAAGCGGGUAGUGAAAUCGUGUGGCUCAACCAUGCUCACAUUAUCCGAACUGCUAGGCUAGAGAACGAGAGAGGUAGAUGGAAUUCCCUGUGUAGGAGUGAAAUCCGUAGAUAUAGGGAGGAACACCGAUGGCGUAGGCAGUCUACUGGCUCGUUUCUGACACUAAGGCACGAAAGCGUGGGGAGCAAACGGG